This 301-nucleotide ribosomal RNA is filed under the name uncultured bacterium. RNAcentral's name for it is "partial 16S ribosomal RNA". It matches the Rfam family "Bacterial small subunit ribosomal RNA", at positions 509 to 807 of the family's 1533-position model. The record is from RNAcentral.
CAGCAGCCGCGGGAAUACAGAGGGUGCAAGCGUUAAUCGGAAUUACUGGGCGUAAAGCGCGCGUAGGUGGUUUGUUAAGUUGGAUGUGAAAUCCCCGGGCUCAACCUGGGAACUGCAUCCAAAACUGGCAAGCUAGAGUAUGGUAGAGGGUGGUGGAAUUUCCUGUGUAGCGGUGAAAUGCGUAGAUAUAGGAAGGAACACCAGUGGCGAAGGCGACCACCUGGACUGAUACUGACACUGAGGUGCGAAAGCGUGGGGAGCAAACAGGAUUAGAUACCCCGGUAGUCCCUGUCUCUUAUAC